Molecule: ribosomal RNA, 406 nt
Filed under: uncultured bacterium
Lineage: Bacteria
Description: partial 16S ribosomal RNA
Rfam family: Bacterial small subunit ribosomal RNA
Source: RNAcentral
AUUGAACGCUGGCGGCAGGCCUAACACAUGCAAGUCGAGCGAGCGGCGGACGGGAGAGCAAUGUCUGGGACACUGCCUGAUGGAGGGGGUCAAGUACUGGAAACGGUUGCUAAUACCGCACACCAUCAGCUGUGCCCAGAUGGGAUGAGCUAGUAGGUGGGGUAAUGGCUGACCUAGGCGACGAUCAGUACCUGGUCUGAGAGGAUGACCAGCCACACGGGAACUGAGACACGGUCCAGACUCCUACGGGAGGCAGCAGUGGGGAAUAUUGGACAAUGGGCGAAAGCCUGAUGCAGCCAUGCCGCGUGUGUGAAGAAGGCCUUCGGGUUGUAAAGCACUUUCAGCGGGGAGGCGUUACUAGCAGAAGAAGCACCGGCUAACUCCGUGCCAGCAGCCGCGGUAAUAC